GAUGAACGCUGGCGGCGUGCCUAAUACAUGCAAGUCGAGCGAACAGACGAUGAGCUUGCUCCUCUCACGUUAGCGGCGGACGGGUGUGUAACACGUGGAUCCCCUACCUAUAAGACUGGUAUAACUUCGGGAAACCGGAUCUAAUCCCGGAUAAUCUAUUGCACCGCAUGGUUCAAUAGUGAAUGUCGGCUUUUGUGUCACUUAUAGCUGCAUCCGCGCCGCAUUAGCUAGUAGGUAAGGUCACGGCUUAUCAAGGCAACGAUGCGUAGCCGACCUGAGAGACGGAUCGCCCACACGGGAAGUGAGACACGGUCAAGACGCCUAAGAGAGGGAGCAGUAGCGAAUCUGACGCAAUAGGCGAAAGCCUUACGGAGCAAGGGGGAGUCAGUGAUAAAGACCUUGCGAUCGUAAAGCUCUGUUACUAGGGAAGAACCAAUGUGUAAGUAACUAUGCACGUCUUGACGGUAACUAAUCAGAAAGCCACGGCUAACUACGUG
RNAcentral lists this ribosomal RNA (497 nucleotides) under uncultured bacterium. RNAcentral's name for it is "partial 16S ribosomal RNA". It matches the Rfam family "Bacterial small subunit ribosomal RNA", at positions 28 to 507 of the family's 1533-position model. The record is from RNAcentral.